Molecule: long non-coding RNA, 2144 nt
Filed under: Salmo salar (Atlantic salmon)
Lineage: Eukaryota; Metazoa; Chordata; Actinopteri; Salmoniformes; Salmonidae
Description: lncRNA (ENSSSAG00000107361.1)
Source: RNAcentral
CCAUAAUAGAAAGAUAGUUCGUCUUUGUAUCUGUGGCAUAGCGGCACCUGUGAAUACAUGGGCAGUACCAUUGAGCGCUAUCUCAAUUUUAAAGUAACAUUACUUCUUAUUUUGUUUGAAAAAAGCGUAAAGCUAAAAUUGGUGAUUUUACGGCACCUCUAGUGCUGGAGGACCCAGUGGCGAUCCGUCAUUCAGGGAAGGCACAGCAGUGCCCCACCUGUUUAGCCUAUAUAUUUAUAUAUAUUUAUAUUUUUUGUUUGUUUGUUGCCUGUUUUACAUGUUAUUUGGCAUUAAUACAUGUCACAUAUCAAUUCAAUCCAGCAUGAUUUCUGCCGCGAUCAAAACAACUGGAAACUCGGAACUGGGGAAUCUCGGACUUCUUUGUCUUGAAAGCACCAUAAAUCCAGAGAUUGCCAGACUUUGAUGACAACAUUUGCCCACAAGAAGGACCGUCGCGCAACCUUCCUGUUCAAGUGAGCACAGCACAGCGAUGAGUCCUAAAAUGCCUUGUAUGCUGCUGCAUAAAUGAUGUAAUAUGCCAUGGAGAUAUGUAUACUGUAGCUAAGAAAGUAAUACUAAGUGUAGUAAGGUGUUAAUAGUCCAUGUGCCUCACCCUAAUACUUUGGUCCCUUUCCCCCUCAUAAUUUAGCCUAAUGUUCAGACUUGGUGGUGGAUGUACAAGAUUUACAUGCGAAAAUCGCCACUGAUCACUGCCCUCUAGUGGCCCCAACAAAUGAAUGCAUUUUCUUCUAAUUAUUUUGGUUAGGGACUCCCAGUGGCGAUUUUAGCAUGGAAAUCUUGGUGGGGUAAAGUAAACUUUUUUUCUUUUGGGAUACAUGCCAGCAAAGCCACUGCACAACACAACACUAAACAAUACAUUAAUUGCACUAUAACGGUGACAAACGGUGCACACAAACUGUUAGUGUCUACAUAAAGCUGUCCCAACAGCAGAGCUUUCUUUUAAGCAUAAUGGAGUGAAUCCUUACCACCGCUAUACCUGGCUAUCAGCAGAGACUUGUCUGGCAGCGAAACAGUUCAUUCAGCCUCAUUUACUGCCUUUUAAAAAAAACAUAGCAGAUAUGGCUAAUUUUAUUAAUUAAUUUGAUAUGCGACCUGUACGCUCUCGUUGGCUGGCCCUCGCUUCAUACUCGUCGCCAAACCCACUGGCUCCAGGUCAUCUACAAGACCCUGCCAGGUAAAGUCCCGCCUUAUCUCUGCUCGCUGGUCACCAUUGCUGCACCCACCCGUAGCACGUGUUCCAGCAGGUAUAUCUCACUUGUCACCCCCAAAGCCAAUUCCUCCUUUGGCCGCCUCUCCUUCCAGUUCUCUGCUGCCAAUGACUGGAACGAACUACAAAAAUCUCUGAAACUGGAAACACUUAUCUCCCUCACUAGCUUUAAGCACCAGCUGUCAGAGCAGCUCACAGAUCACUGCACCUGUACAUAGCCCAUCUAUAAUUUAGCCCAAACAACUACCUCUUCCCCUACUGUAUUUAUUUAUUUUGCUCCUUUGCACCCCAGUAUUUCUACUUUGCACACGCAUCUACUGUCAAAUCUACCAUUCCAAUGUUUUAAUUGCUAUAUUGUAUUUACUUUGCCACCAUGGCCUUUUUUGCCUUUACCUCCCUUAUCUCACCUCAUUUGCUCACAUUGUAUAUAGACUUAUUUUUCUACUGUAUUAUUGACUGUAUGUUUGUUUUAUUCCAUGUGUAACUCUGUUGUUGUUAUAUGUGUCGAACUGCUUUGCUUUAUCUUGGCCAGGUCGCAGUUGUAAAUGAGAACUUGUUCUCAACUUGCCUACCUGGUUAAAUAAAGGUGAAAUAAAAAAAUGGCUGACUUGCUUAAACAAAUGUGGCUUCUACUGAUAAUUGAGAUGUACAAAGUAUGGCAUAAGGGAACGACGAGCAGAUGAGGCAAUCCGUAAUUUUGAUUAAGACCUUAAUGAGUGAGCUAAGACGGUCGUAGUCAAUAACUAUUUGUUCAGCACUUUUGAAAUGUACAGCGCCAGAAUUCAGAACAUGGGCCGUUCUUACAUUUUGCCAAAAUGCACCUAAAGACUCUCAGACCAUUAGAAACAAGUGUCACGCCCUGACCAUAGAGAGCCCUUAGUUCUAUAUGGUGUUUAGGUCAGAGCGUGACUAGGGG